UAGGGAAUCUUCGGCAAUGGACGAAAGUCUGACCGAGCAACGCCGCGUGAGUGAAGAAGGUUUUCGGAUCGUAAAACUCUGUUGUUAGAGAAGAACAAGGACGUUAGUAACUGAACGUCCCCUGACGGUAUCUAACCAGAAAGCAACGGCUAACUACGUGCCAGCAGCCGCGGUAAUACGUAGGUGGCAAGCGUUGUCCGGAUUUAUUGGGCGUAAAGCGAGCGCAGGCGGUUUCUUAAGUCUGAUGUGAAAGCCCCCGGCUCAACCGGGGAGGGUCCUUGGAAACUGGGAGACUUGAGUGCAGAAGAGGAGAGUGGAAUUCCAUGUGUAGCGGUGAAAUGCGUAGAUAUAUGGAGGAACACCAGUGGCGAAGGCGGCUCUCUGGUCUGUAACUGACGCUGAGGCUCGAAAGCGUGGGGAGCAAACAGG
RNAcentral lists this ribosomal RNA (429 nucleotides) under Gemmatimonadota bacterium. RNAcentral describes it as "Gemmatimonadetes bacterium partial 16S ribosomal RNA". It matches the Rfam family "Bacterial small subunit ribosomal RNA", at positions 355 to 776 of the family's 1533-position model. The record is from RNAcentral. Lineage: Bacteria; Pseudomonadati; Gemmatimonadota.